CUCCCAGCAUGGCACCACAGUAUGCAGCCUGCUCUCGCUCCUGCACAAGCAUGAAACACAUUCAGGUAUGCCAAUGCAACGUAACAUUGCUGCUACCCCAAAUAUCCAAGGAACCUUAGGGCACAUUGACAAGACGAGGCCUGACACCGCAGAACCCCAUCAGCUGUUUAUGUCCCAUGUCAUCCAAAUGCAAACAGAAACACGGGAUGGCACACAUUAAGGCCCAGCCACCAUCAUCUCUGUGUGACUCUUCUUUCCCUCCUGUGAUAACCCCUUCUGUCACAAGUACCAGUCAGAUGAGUCUCCAAAUCUCCCUGAACGGGUCUGCCAAGGAAUUAACCAUGAAUAAUAAUCCAAUUGAUCUCCUGGUGGAUUCUGCUUCCCCUGUUACUACACCAGGCAUUGGAACUGAAGAUGGGAAAGCAAAGUUCUUGGAAGCUCCCCUCCAUGACAACAUGACAAACCCCAAAGAGAAAAAACGCCAAUGUGUUUGGUGAAUGAGUUAGCCCGCUUUAACAGAAUUCAGCCCCAAUAUAAACUUUUGGAUGAAAGGGGACCAGCGCACUCCAAGUUAUUUACUGUUCAGUUGACUCUGGGAGAGCAAACAUGGCAAGCUGAAAGUACAAGCAUUAAGAAGGCUCAACAUGCUGCUGCCAGCCUGGCCCUCUCUGAAACCACACUCCCCAAGCCUGCAGCUAGGCACAGCAAAAACCACAUGAACAAUAA
This is a long non-coding RNA of Xenopus laevis (African clawed frog), 726 nucleotides long. RefSeq lists it as uncharacterized. Lineage: Eukaryota; Metazoa; Chordata; Amphibia; Anura; Pipidae. The transcript is spliced from 4 exons. The record is from RefSeq and is a predicted model, not a curated record.